RNAcentral lists this ribosomal RNA (497 nucleotides) under uncultured bacterium. RNAcentral's name for it is "partial 16S ribosomal RNA". It matches the Rfam family "Bacterial small subunit ribosomal RNA", at positions 28 to 507 of the family's 1533-position model. The record is from RNAcentral.
GAUGAACGCUGGCGGCGUGCCUAAUACAUGCAAGUCGAGCGAACAGACGAGGAGCUUGCUCCUCUGACGUUAGCUGCGGACGGGUGAGUAACACGUGGAUAACCUACCUAUAAGACUGGGAUAACUUCGGUAAACCGUAGCUAAUACCGGAUAACAUGUUGAACCGCAUGGUUCAACAGUGAAAGACGGUCUUGCUGUCACUUAUAGAUGGAUCCGCGCCGCAUUAGCUAGUUGGUAAGGUAACGGCUUACCAAGGCAACGAUGCGUAGCCGACCUGAGAGGGUGAUCGGGCACACGGGAACUGAGACACGGUCCAGACUCCUAAGGGAGGCAGCAGUAGGGAAUCUUCCGCAAUGGGCGAAAGCCUGACGGAGCAACGCCGCGUGAGUGAAGAAGGUCUUCGGAUCGUAAAACUCUGUUAUUAGGGAAGAACAAAUGUGUAAGUAACUAGGCACGUCUUGACGGUACCUAAUCAGAAAGCCACGGCUAACUACGUG